CCUGGCCUCACGAGCAUCCUGUGUCUCCCUGAUUGAGCGCUACAGAGCUUCGGCGUGCAACCUCAUCCUCACGAUAUUUUUCAUAGAGCGUCCGCAGCCUCCGGCCUCUUCAGCUUCUCCAUCAAAUCCCUGGCCGGUUGAUUUUCCUUGCUCAUAUUCGUCUUCUUCCCUCUAGCCUUUCCCCUUCCAUGUCUUUUUCAAUCCCAGUCAAUAUUAUAUGGCUCCUCCGCUUCUUAUUCUUCCUAUUCCCAAUCUCCCUUCACCUGUCGCUUCGGCCUGCUUCCAUGGCUGGAACUACAAGGUGUCAAAUCCAACGGGGAUUUAAUUAGCGGCAGGGAUCCACGGUGGUGUUGGACUGGUGGAAAAGGUAGCCGAUUCACUGGGCAUCACCGCUUCUGACUGCCUCGAUUGGUUAUGUCAUCGUCAGUGUCAUCGACAUUGCGGACCAAUCGGCACCCUCAAUGGCGCCAGGUAGUGUGCAAGCGCGGGUACAGAUCGAUGGGUGCCCUCUACCGGCACAACUGUAUAGCAUGCAUGAUCCAUGGCGCCGGGCAACAUGCAAGCUCUGCUGCAGAUCGAUGGUUCAUAGUAGAAGCGACAAGAAAGGCAACCUGAAGGUCUCCGCGCCUUCAUGUUAGGUCCGCGAUUCCUCGAGUGCUUCUUCAUGGAGUCUGUAGGCGAAGAACUGGAGGAAGGUGAACAACACUGAGCUGCAACUCUUUAUAUUCUCUUACCCAUUUUUUUACUCUCUGCCUCUCUCCACAUCUAUUUUUCCAGGAGGAUGAAGGAUGGACGGUGACUGACAUUUAUUAGGCAGGAUUAGAUAUGCUAAAUUGUUUGAUUACCAUGGUCACCAAGGCACUUAGAUGUAUCUAUGCUUGGCCACAGAAGUCACAUUCAGUUUUCAUCUGUUUCAAUAAGCCGCUAUGAAACUGUCCGCUGAUUGUCCCUACAGUUGCUUACUAAUGUGAUCCAUGCAUGAUGUUGCUACUUUGCAGCAGUACAUAUUAUUGGCUCCUUUUCCCUACCACACUAACAGGUGGUUAAGAAAUAAUUGUACAUAAAGGAUCAAGAAACAACGGUUACUCAUUUUCUGGUAUGUUCACAUAUACUAUUAUAUCAUAUUUAUUUAUGUAGGAUCACCAAAGGUUUGUAAUUUUCUUUAAUCUUCGGAUAUAAUCUUCACCUUUAUUAACCAUGUUUGUUCUUUCUUUCUGUCUAAUAAUGUAGGAAUUAAUAAUUACCAAUCAAAAGUAAAACUAUUAUUAUGCUAACACGACUUUUGCUAAUAGUUUAAAAACACACACUAACUUCUGGUGUUUCUUUGAAUCUAGCACCUUUCUUUCUAAGAUAAAGCAUCCUUCUAUAUGUACUUAAGGUACAUUGUGAUUAAGACGAAUUAUGAAAAAAAUAUUUCUUAAAAGAUUAUAGUGUUUGUGUGUGUUCUAUCUAAACUUACAGCCAUUGAACUUUGUUCCGUUGAAUAGUUGUGUGAUUUUGGCAAAACAAAUCAUACUUUUCCGUACAUGCUCCCUACUGUAUUACUCUAAGCAUUUGACUGUUCUUCGUUUACUGGGGAGGUGUGAAAUCCAUCAUAGUUUAUGUUCCCGGUAGAGACAUUGUUUCAGUAUAUGCAUAUGUAUCUUUAUACCAUAAUUUCUGGAAAAUGGUUGUUUUAUUUAGCAAAUGUGAUAUAUUAUGAUGCCUAUGCGAGCUUCCUUUUUGUGCUGUCACGUCAUACCGGCUUCCUUUCUGUACUUCAUGCUUCAUCCUGAACAUAUAUUCUCUCAAGAAUGUUUUGUUAUCCUUUUUUUUUUUGCCGGCAAGAAUGUUUUAUUAUCCUGAACAUCUAUUUCAAGCAGCCUCUGAUUAUUUUGUCUUUAGCAUAUAUUCCCGCAGCAACGCGUGAGGUGUCAUCUAGUUUGUUAUAUGAGCCGUGGCAGCACUACGCUGUUGAUCGUGUUGGGGCCUUUGUUGGGGGAGACGAAGCGGCUCAGCAAAAAUUAGAGUUGUCUAAAAAAAAGCAAAAAUCAGAGGGUGUGCUUACGAAAUCACUAAUUAAGGAGUACUCAUUGCAAAGAUCACUCUCGUCUUCCCAGGUUGCGGCAAUUGGCGCGCUGCAUGUGUU
Triticum aestivum (bread wheat) is the source of this 2128-nucleotide long non-coding RNA. RefSeq lists it as uncharacterized. The transcript is spliced from 3 exons. Lineage: Eukaryota; Viridiplantae; Streptophyta; Magnoliopsida; Poales; Poaceae. The record is from RefSeq and is a predicted model, not a curated record.